This 253-nucleotide ribosomal RNA is filed under the name uncultured bacterium. Its description in RNAcentral is "partial 16S ribosomal RNA". It matches the Rfam family "Bacterial small subunit ribosomal RNA", at positions 524 to 776 of the family's 1533-position model. The record is from RNAcentral.
UACGUAGGGUGCGAGCGUUAAUCGGAAUUACUGGGCGUAAAGUGUGCGCAGGCGGCCGAGCAAGUCGAGUGUGAAAGCCCCGAGCUUAACUUGGGAACUGCGCUCGAAACUACUUGGCUAGAGUGUGGCAGAGGGAGGUGGAAUUCCACGUGUAGCGGUGAAAUGCGUAGAGAUGUGGAGGAACACCGAUGGCGAAGGCAGCCUCCUGGGCCUGCACUGACGCUCAUGCACGAAAGCGUGGGGAGCAAACAGG